This 132-nucleotide ribosomal RNA is filed under the name uncultured Escherichia sp. RNAcentral describes it as "partial 16S ribosomal RNA". It matches the Rfam family "Bacterial small subunit ribosomal RNA", at positions 391 to 517 of the family's 1533-position model. Lineage: Bacteria; Pseudomonadati; Pseudomonadota; Gammaproteobacteria; Enterobacterales; Enterobacteriaceae. The record is from RNAcentral.
GCCAUGCCGCGUGUGUGAAGAAGGCCUUCGGGUUGUAAAGCACUUUCAGCGGGGAGGAAGGCGUUGAGGUUAAUAACCUUGUCGAUUGACGUUACCCGCAAAAAGCACCGGCUAACUCCGUGCCAGCAGCCG